AUUCUGGAUCUGCUUCGAACCUGGAAUAUCCGGAUGGUCACCAUCAUGUCCGUAAUGCUGUGGUAUGUAAAAGAGACCUGCCUGAGGCUUCCAGACAAAGCUUCUUGAAGUGGCCAUUGGGCCUCUUGUUUACAGACAUGCCUCAGACCAAAAUUCAAAGCCUAUGUCAUCAGAGAGUGAAAAGGAUAUGUCUUGUGUUAGAUGGAAAAAAUGGGCAUGUCACAAUUCUUAAUGGGAUGGAACCUCAGAAAAGGAGAAUGAAAACAAUUGUGGAGGCUGUUGUGGGAAAUAUGGACUCUUGUGGGGAAUCUCUCCAGAUCUUAAGAUGAAUCCUUGCCCAAUUUGGGUCAUUUAGUUUCCGUCUCCUACCCAGUUACUGACAGUGGCUGAGGAGGCCAGGUAGGGCUUUUAAGAAGGAUCUGAGUGAAGACACCAUGUCCUGUAGGCUGCAGAGGCUGCCAGUUACUUGGGAUGUGCUCCUCCUGGGAUGUCCAUAAACGGUCCUGGAGUCAGGGCUAUAGCCUAGAUGUCCUUACCAGGUUCCCACUAAUGAGGCAAAGUAUGUCAGAAAGGGAUUUGUGAAUUACCAGGGAGAGGAAACAUGUCCAAGUGCACAUCGCUAGCUUUUGCUCAGCGGCCGAACCCUGGGAUUCUAGGCGACUUCUGGAGCCUGGUGGGUUAGCGGUGAGAAGAUGGGCGAGGAGAGCAGACUUCAUCUCAGAGUCCUUAUUACUAGUCUCAUCCAGCUUUGAGGCAGUCAGCCACUGUGCCUACUGAGGGAGUGCUAUGAGUCACCCGCUUCCAAGGAAUGGCCCAGGAUCCCUCCAGGCAGUUCACCAUUCCCUGAGUUGGCCUCAAGACAGGAGCAGCAUGUAGCCUGCACCACAGACAUGCAAGCCUGUGAUGAGUCACCCACUUUUGUGUUCACCCAGGCUCUCCUCCCUGCUCUGGAUUUCCUGGGGACUCAUGCACAUACUCUUUUUAUUGUACCAGCUGUGUGUUCCACCUGCAGAUGAGUCAAAACAGUCUAAUCCAUAAAGGUCUGGUUUGUCAAAGAGUGUGGGUCAUCAACAGAGAGAAUGCCUACUGGGGAUGCCCAGGUCAGGGGUACUGCAGGGCAUCCUGAUGAGAGGCAGUGUGGCCCCUCCAUUGGGAGCCACCUGUCUGCUCCACAAGUACCGCGGGGCUGGUGUCAGCUGUCUCUGACCAGCCUCUUCCUGACGGUCACCACAGGUAGUGUGUGAGGGUCUCUCUCCAAGUGUUUGACCUAAUGUUGUUCCUUUUGUUAUCUUAUCCCCCAAAUCCUAUCACACCUCACUUGAUGUCUGCCUCCUGACUCAUUCUCUAGCUCCUUCUGCAGUUGCUGGAUUUGAGGAGGUUCAGCUUAGGAUUUUUAAAGCUGAAAGGCAGGUUGGAAUUUUUCUUUUCAAUGAAGUAAAUCUAUCUGAAUUAUACAAGCUUUUUUGCUGGGACACUGUCUAUAUGGAAGGCUCUGAGAGUGCACUGGCGCAGGGUUUACACUGUACCACUUGGGCUGGGGAAAAUUAUCUUUUGAUCUAUGAAGUAAGAUGCAGGGUUACAGUUACUGCUGCCUUACUAGUCUCUGCUUAAAGAUGGUUUGGAAUUUACUGAAAUAAUUGCAUUGUAAAAGUUGUACAGGUUGGGAAAGAUGUGGAUACUGCUUUUCUAGCUUUCUUCUGCACUCUGUUUCAGGAUGACCAUAUCAGUGGGCUAUUUUGGGCUUUCGCUUGAUACUCCUAACUUGCAUGGGGACAUCUUUGUGAACUGCUUCCUUUCAGCGAUGGUUGAAGUCCCAGCAUAUGUGUUGGCCUGGCUGCUGCUGCAAUAUUUGCCCCGGCGCUAUUCCAUGGCCACUGCCCUCUUCCUGGGUGGCAGUGUCCUUCUCUUCGUGCAGCUGGUACCCCCAGACUUGUAUUAUUUGGCUACAGUCCUGGUGAUGGUGGGCAAGUUUGGAGUCACGGCUGCCUUUUCCAUGGUCUACGUGUACACAGCCGAGCUGUAUCCCACAGUUGUGAGAAACAUGGGUGUGGGAGUCAGCUCCACAGCAUCCCGCCUGGGCAGCAUCCUGUCUCCCUACUUCGUUUACCUUGGUGCCUACGACCGCUUCCUGCCCUACAUUCUCAUGGGAAGUCUGACCAUCCUGACAGCCAUCCUCACCUUGUUUCUCCCAGAGAGCUUCGGUACCCCACUCCCGGACACCAUUGACCAGAUGCUAAGAGUCAAAGGAAUGAAACACAGAAAAACUCCAAGUCACACAAGGAUGUUAAAAGAUGGUCAAGAAAGGCCCACAAUCCUUAAAAGCACAGCCUUCUAACAUCGCCUCCAGUAAGGGAGAAACUGAAGAGGAAAGACUGUCUUGCCAGAAAUGGCCAGCUUGUGCAGACUCCGAGUCCUUCAGUGACAAAGGCCUUUGCUGUUUGUCCUCUUGACCUGUGUCUGACUUGCUCCUGGAUGGGCACCCACACUCAGAGGCUACAUAUGGCCCUAGAGCACCACCUUCCUCUAGGGACACUGUGGCUACCUACAGACAACUUCAUCUAAGUCCUAACUAUUACAAUGAUGGACUCAGCACCUCCAAAGAAGUUAAUUUUUCACUAGAACCAGUGAGAUCUGGAGGAAUGUGAGAAGCAUAUGCUAAAUGUACAUUUUAAUUUUAGACUACUUGAAAAGACCCCUAAUAAGGCUAGAGGUCUAAGUCCCCCACCCCUUUCCCCACUCCCCUCUAGUGGUGAAAUUUAGAGGAAAAGGAAGUAAUUGCACAAGGAGUUUGAUUCUUACCUUUUCUCAGUUACAGAGGACAUUAACUGGAUCAUUGCUUCCCCAGGGCAGGAGAGCGCAGAGCUAGGGAAAGCGAAAGGUAAUGAAGAUGGAGCAGAAUGAGCAGAUGCAGAUCACCAGCAAGUGCACUGAUGUGUGAGCUCUUAAGACCACUCAGCAUGACGACUGAGUAGACUUGUUUACAUCUGAUGAAAGCACUGGGCUUGUCCAGGCUCAUACUAAAUGCUCCAUUGAAUCUACUAUUCUUGUUUUCCACUGCUGUGGAAACCUCCUUGCUACUAUAGCGUCUUAUGUAUGGUUUAAAGGAAAUUUAUCAGGUGAGAGAGAUGAGCAACGUUGUCUUUUCUCUCAAAGCUGUAAUGUGGGUUUUGUUUUAUUGUUUAUUUGUUUGUUGUUGUAUUCUUUUCUCCUUAAGUUAUUUGCCCUUCAGAAUGCACUUGGGAAAGGCUGGUUCCUUAGCCUCCUGGUUUGUGUCUUUUUUUUUUUUUUUUUUUUAAACACAGAAUCACUCUGGCAAUUGUCUGCAGCUGCCACUGGUGCACGGCCUUACCAGCCCUAGCCUCUAGCACUUCUCUAAGUGCCAAAAACAGUGUCAUUGUGUGUGUUCCUUUCUUGAUACUUAGUCAUGGGAGGAUAUUACACAAAAGAAAUUUAAAUUAUGUUCAUAGUCUUUCAGAGUAGCUCACUUUAGUCCUGUAACUUUAUUGGGUGAUAUUUUGUGUUCAGUGUAAUUGUCUUCUCUUUGCUGAUUAUGUUACCAUGGUACUCCUAAAGCAUAUGCUUCACCUGGUUAAAAAAGAACAAACAUGUUUUUGUGAAAGCUACUGAAGUGCCUUGGGAAAUGAGAAAGUUUUAAUAAGUAAAAUGAUUUUUUAAAUAAC
RNAcentral lists this small RNA (3680 nucleotides) under Pan troglodytes (chimpanzee). Its description in RNAcentral is "retained intron". The record is from RNAcentral. Lineage: Eukaryota; Metazoa; Chordata; Mammalia; Primates; Hominidae.